AGAGUUUGAUCCUGGCUCAGAGUGAACGCUGGCGGUAGGCCUAACACAUGCAAGUCGAACGGCAGCACAGGAGAGCUUGCUCUCUGGGUGGCGAGUGGCGGACGGGUGAGGAAUACAUCGGAAUCUACCUUUUCGUGGGGGAUAACGUAGGGAAACUUACGCUAAUACCGCAUACGACCUACGGGUGAAAGUGGGGGACCGCAAGGCCUCACGCGAUUAGAUGAGCCGAUGUCCGAUUAGCUAGUUGGCGGGGUAAUGGCCCACCAAGGCGACGAUCGGUAGCUGGUCUGAGAGGAUGAUCAGCCACACUGGAACUGAGACACGGUCCAGACUCCUACGGGAGGCAGCAGUGGGGAAUAUUGGACAAUGGGCGCAAGCCUGAUCCAGCCAUACCGCGUGGGUGAAGAAGGCCUUCGGGUUGUAAAGCCCUUUUGUUGGGAAAGAAAUCCUGUCGAUUAAUACUCGGUGGGGAUGACGGUACCCAAAGAAUAAGCACCGGCUAACUUCGUGCCAGCAGCCGCGGUAAUACGAAGGGUGCAAGCGUUACUCGGAAUUACUGGGCGUAAAGCGUGCGUAGGUGGUGGUUUAAGUCUGCUGUGAAAGCCCUGGGCUCAACCUGGGAAUUGCAGUGGAUACUGGAUCACUAGAGUGUGGUAGAGGGAUGCGGAAUUUCUGGUGUAGCAGUGAAAUGCGUAGAGAUCAGAAGGAACAUCCGUGGCGAAUGCGGCAUCCUGGGCCAACACUGACACUGAGGCACGAAAGCGUGGGGAGCAAACAGGAUUAGAUACCCUGUAGUCCACGCCCUAAACGAUGCGAACUGGAUGUUGGGUGCAACUUGUCACCCAGUAUCGAAGCUAACGCGUUAAGUUCGCCGCCUGGGGAGUACGGUCGCAAGACUGAAACUCAAAGGAAUUGACGG
RNAcentral lists this ribosomal RNA (919 nucleotides) under Pseudoxanthomonas mexicana. Its description in RNAcentral is "bacterial SSU rRNA". It matches the Rfam family "Bacterial small subunit ribosomal RNA", at positions 8 to 916 of the family's 1533-position model. The record is from RNAcentral. Lineage: Bacteria; Pseudomonadati; Pseudomonadota; Gammaproteobacteria; Lysobacterales; Lysobacteraceae.